UACGUAGGGUGCAAGCGUUGUCCGGAAUUAUUGGGCGUAAAGAGCUCGUAGGCGGUCUGUCGCGUCUGCUGUGAAAACUCAGGGCUUAACCCUGAGCUUGCAGUGGGUACGGGCAGACUAGAGUGCGGUAGGGGAGACUGGAAUUCCUGGUGUAGCGGUGAAAUGCGCAGAUAUCAGGAGGAACACCGGUGGCGAAGGCGGUUCUCUGGGCAUUACCUGACGCUGAGGAGCGAAAGUGUGGGGAGCGAACAGG
This 253-nucleotide ribosomal RNA is filed under the name uncultured bacterium. Its description in RNAcentral is "partial 16S ribosomal RNA". It matches the Rfam family "Bacterial small subunit ribosomal RNA", at positions 524 to 776 of the family's 1533-position model. The record is from RNAcentral.